GAUGAACGCUGGCGGCGUGCCUAAUACAUGCAAGUCGAGCGAACGGACGAGAAGCUUGCUUCUCUGAUGUUAGCGGCGGACGGGUGAGUAACACGUGGAUAACCUACCUAUAAGACUGGGAUAACUUCGGGAAACCGGAGCUAAUACCGGAUAAUAUUUUGAACCGCAUGGUUCAAAAGUGAAAGACGGUCUUGCUGUCACUUAUAGAUGGAUCCGCGCUGCAUUAGCUAGUUGGCAAGGUAACGGCUUACCAAGGCAACGAUGCAUAGCCGACCUGAGAGGGUGAUCGGCCACACUGGAACUGAGACACGGUCCAGACUCCUACGGGAGGCAGCAGUAGGGAAUCUUCCGCAAUGGGCGAAAGCCUGACGGAGCAACGCCGCGUGAGUGAUGAAGGUCUUCGGAUCGUAAAACUCUGUUAUUAGGGAAGAACAUAUGUGUAAGUAACUGUGCACAUCUUGACGGUACCUAAUCAGAAAGCCACGGCUAACUACGUGCCAGCAGCCGCGGUAAUACGUAGGUGGCAAGCGUUAUCCGGAAUUAUUGGGCGUAAAGCGCGCGUAGGCGGUUUUUUAAGUCUGAUGUGAAAGCCCACGGCUCAACCGUGGAGGGUCAUUGGAAACUGGAAAACUUGAGUGCAGAAGAGGAAAGUGGAAUUCCAUGUGUAGCGGUGAAAUGCGCAGAGAUAUGGAGGAACACCAGUGGCGAAGGCGACUUUCUGGUCUGUAACUGACGCUGAUGUGCGAAAGCGUGGGGAUCAAACAGGAUUAGAUACCCUGGUAGUCCACGCCGUAAACGAUGAGUGCUAAGUGUUAGGGGGUUUCCGCCCCUUAGUGCUGCAGCUAACGCAUUAAGCACUCCGCCUGGGGAGUACGACCGCAAGGUUGAAACUCAAAGGAAUUGACGGGGACCCGCACAAGCGGUGGAGCAUGUGGUUUAAUUCGAAGCAACGCGAAGAACCUUACCAAAUCUUGACAUCCUUUGACAACUCUAGAGAUAGAGCCUUCCCCUUCGGGGGACAAAGUGACAGGUGGUGCAUGGUUGUCGUCAGCUCGUGUCGUGAGAUGUUGGGUUAAGUCCCGCAACGAGCGCAACCCUUAAGCUUAGUUGCCAUCAUUAAGUUGGGCACUCUAAGUUGACUGCCGGUGACAAACCGGAGGAAGGUGGGGAUGACGUCAAAUCAUCAUGCCCCUUAUGAUUUGGGCUACACACGUGCUACAAUGGACAAUACAAAGGGCAGCGAAACCGCGAGGUCAAGCAAAUCCCAUAAAGUUGUUCUCAGUUCGGAUUGUAGUCUGCAACUCGACUACAUGAAGCUGGAAUCGCUAGUAAUCGUAGAUCAGCAUGCUACGGUGAAUACGUUCCCGGGUCU
This 1372-nucleotide ribosomal RNA is filed under the name uncultured bacterium. RNAcentral's name for it is "bacterial SSU rRNA". It matches the Rfam family "Bacterial small subunit ribosomal RNA", at positions 28 to 1381 of the family's 1533-position model. The record is from RNAcentral.